This 408-nucleotide unclassified non-coding RNA is filed under the name soil metagenome. RNAcentral describes it as "partial contains 5.8S ribosomal RNA, internal transcribed spacer 2, and large subunit ribosomal RNA". The stretch from base 1 to 120 matches the Rfam family "5.8S ribosomal RNA", at positions 35 to 154 of the family's 154-position model. The record is from RNAcentral.
GAUGAAGAACGUAGCGAAUUGCGAUAUGUAAUGUGAAUUGCAGAAUUCAGUGAAUCAUCGAAUCUUUGAACGCACCUUGCGCUCCUUGGCAUUCCGAGGAGCAUGCCUGUUUGAGUGUCAUUAAAUUCUCAAGACCUGUCUGCUUUUUUGAUAGGUAUUGGAUUUUGGGGGUUGCAGGCUGUUUCAAAUAAAUAGCCUUGCUCUCCUUGAAUGUAUUAGUGGAGAAAAGCCAUUGAACUCCAUUGGUGUGAUAAAACCUAUCAAUGCCAGGAGCAAUAUCACUACUUCUCUCUGCUGUCUAACUGUGACUGUCUGUAUUAAUUAGUAUGGAUGGGGACAACUUGACCAACUUGACCUCAAAUCAGGUAGGACUACCCGCUGAACUUAAGCAUAUCAAUAAGCGGAGGA